This 397-nucleotide ribosomal RNA is filed under the name uncultured bacterium. RNAcentral's name for it is "partial 16S ribosomal RNA". It matches the Rfam family "Bacterial small subunit ribosomal RNA", at positions 523 to 918 of the family's 1533-position model. The record is from RNAcentral.
AUACGUAGGGAGCGAGCGUUGUCCGGAAUGAUUGGGCGUAAAGGGCGCGUAGGCGGCCCGGUAAGUCUGGAGUGAAAGUCCUGUUUUUAAGAUGGGAAUUGCUUUGGAUACUGUCGCGCUUGAGUGCAGGAGAGGUUAUCGGAAUUCCCGGUGUAGCGGUGAAAUGCGUAGAGAUCGGGAGGAACACCAGUGGCGAAGGCGGGUAACUGGACUGCAACUGACGCUGAGGCGCGAAAGUGUGGGGAGCAAACAGGAUUAGAUACCCUGGUAGUCCACACUGUAAACGAUGAAUGCUAGGUGUAAGAGGUAUCGACCCCUUUUGUGCCGGAGUCAACACAAUAAGCAUUCCGCCUGGGGAGUACGGCCGCAAGGUUGAAACUUAAAGGAAUUGACGGGG